This 325-nucleotide long non-coding RNA is filed under the name Setaria italica (foxtail millet). RNAcentral's name for it is "long non-coding RNA (SITA_LNC005419)". The record is from RNAcentral. Lineage: Eukaryota; Viridiplantae; Streptophyta; Magnoliopsida; Poales; Poaceae.
UGGAGCCGAGGUUCCGCGGCGUCCGGAAGCGUCCCUGGGGACGGUACGCGGCGGAGAUCCGGGACCCCGCCAGGAAGGCCCGCGUGUGGCUCGGCACCUUCGACACCGCCGAGGCCGCGGCGCGCGCCUACGACGCCGCCGCGCUCCACUUCCGCGGGCCCAAGGCCAAGACCAAUUUCCCCGUCGCGUUCGCGCACCCGGCGCCGCCGCCCAAGAUGCUGGCCGUCAGCCCCAGCAGCAGCACCGUGGAGUCAUCCUCCCGGGACUCGCCGGCCGCGUCCCCCGCGGCGGCGCUGCCUGCGCCGUCGCUGGACCUGAGCCUCGG